UACAGAGGGUGCGAGCGUUAAUCGGAAUUACUGGGCGUAAAGCGCGCGUAGGCGGCUUUGCAAGUCGGGUGUGAAAUCCCCAGGCUUAACCUGGGAACUGCAUUCGAGACUGCAUUGCUAGAGUAUGGGGAGAGGGAAGUGGAAUUUCAGGUGUAGCGGUGAAAUGCGUAGAUAUCUGAAGGAACAUCAGUGGCGAAAAGCGACUUCCUGGACCAAUACUGACGCUCAUGUGCGAAAAGCGUGGGGGAGCAAACAGGG
This 258-nucleotide ribosomal RNA is filed under the name uncultured bacterium. Its description in RNAcentral is "partial 16S ribosomal RNA". It matches the Rfam family "Bacterial small subunit ribosomal RNA", at positions 524 to 777 of the family's 1533-position model. The record is from RNAcentral.